AGGCAGCAGCUAAGAAUCUUCCGCAAUGGACGAAAGUCUGACGGAGCGACGCCGCGUGGGUGAUGAACGCCGUGAGGUUGUAAAGCCCUUUUCUACCUGAGGAAUAAGCGCAGGAGGGAAUGCCUGUGUGAUGACGGUAGGGUAGGAAUAAGCCCCGGCUAAUUACGUGCCAGCAGCCGCGGUAACACGUAUGGGGCGAGCGUUGUUCGGAAUUAUUGGGCGUACAGGGCGUGUAGGCGGAUAUGCAAGUCUGGUGUGAAAGACCGAAGCUCAACUGCGGGUACGCGCUGGAAACUGUAUAUCUUGAAUCCUUGAGGGGGACCUGGAAUUCCUGGUGUAUGGGUGAAAUCUGUCGAUAUCAGGAAGAACAUCAGUGGCGAAAGCGAAGUUCCUGAGCCGUUGAUUGACGCUGAGGCGCGAAAGCGUGGGGUAGCACACAGGAUUAGAUACCCUGGUAGUCCACGCCGUAAACGAUGUGCACUAGGUGUUGGGGUGUUGAAACCUCAGUACCGGAGCUAACGUGGUAAGUGCACCGCUUGGGGAGUAUGCCGGCAACGGUGAAACUCAAAGGAAUUGACGGGGGCCCGCACAAGCGGUGGAGCAUGUGGUUUAAUUCGAUGAUACGCGA
Molecule: ribosomal RNA, 628 nt
Filed under: uncultured organism
Description: bacterial SSU rRNA
Rfam family: Bacterial small subunit ribosomal RNA
Source: RNAcentral